This 465-nucleotide ribosomal RNA is filed under the name uncultured bacterium. Its description in RNAcentral is "partial 16S ribosomal RNA". It matches the Rfam family "Bacterial small subunit ribosomal RNA", at positions 28 to 507 of the family's 1533-position model. The record is from RNAcentral.
GACGAACGCUGGCGGCGUGCUUAACACAUGCAAGUCGAACGGAAAGGCCCUGCUUGCAGGGUACUCGAGUGGCGAACGGGUGAGUAACACGUGGGUGAUCUGCCCUGCACUUCGGGAUACGCCUGGGAAACUGGGUCUAAUACCGGAUAGGAGCCAUUUUUAGUGUGAUGGUUGGAAAGUUUUUUCGGUGUAGGAUGAGCUCGCGGCCUAUCAGCUUGUUGGUGGGGUAAUGGCCUACCAAGGCGGCGACGGGUAGCCGGCCUGAGAGGGUGGACGGCCACAUUGGGACUGAGAGACGGCCCAGACGCCGACGGGAGGCAGCAGGGGGGAAUAUUGCACAAUGGGCGCAAGCCUGAUGCAGCGACGCCGCGGGGGGGAUGACGGCCUUCGGGUUGUAAACGCCUUUCGCUAGGGACGAAGCUUUUUGUGACGGUACCUAGAGAAGAAGCACCGGCUAACUACGUG